CUUAAAUUCCCACCAAUUCAAAAUUGUUUGGAUUAAAGUUUUCUUGUGUUUUGUGCAACAUAUAAUCAUUAAAUAAAGGUGUGCAAAGAAAUGUGUCAUUCCCAAUCUGUCGUUAAAUUAAAAAGGCUUGGCUGUGAAGAAACCCAAUUCCUAAUUGCAAACACCCGUUUUCAGCACUAAAUCUGCAACCUCGGCUCUUGAUUUUCUCUGCCGAUUUGCCUCCUGCAAAUCAAGGUCAACUUUUCUCUCUAAUAUGGUAUAUGUGCCUGGUUUUGUCAAAUUUGUCAAACCCAACAUGUGACCAUACAAUUUUGAAAAUCUCUGUCCGUCGACGACAUUGUUGGCUAGAAUAUACAAAAGCAAUCCCAAAAUUCAAUACACCAAAAGGCCUCUAAAACCUUGCAAAAUUUCAGCAAUAGUACAUGGCUUCGGCAUAUGUGAACUGAUUUUAUGUGUUGUAUAAUAUGAUUGUUCUAUGUUUACAUAUUUUUCAGGUUGUGAAAUUGAGAAUUAAUGUUGUUGGAGGAGAAAUAUAUGGUGGAUUCAAGGUUUUAUUUCGGUCGACAGCGAAGACCAAAAAGCGGCGCCUGUGGAAGAAGAAUUGGGUGAUGGAUUUAGGUCAUUUUGCUCGGCAGUGGUAUUUUUUGGCGACGGGGGCCUCUCUUGCAAUUUGUAAGAUUAGAGGCCCCUAUCUGCAAUUAAGGGAUUGGGCUUAAACUUGCAAUUUUAAAAGAAGGGCCCCUUCAACAGUUUGCGUAAUAUGGGGGGUCUAUUUGUAAAUUAGACUAGGGUCAGAUUGCAAACUUCUAUAUUGCUUUGAAUUUAAAUAUUAAAAAAAAUUUAGAUUUUCUUUAGGGUUUUUAUGUGAAAACGGGCAGAAUUGGUUGGAAACGGGACCUAUGUUGCAAUUUCAGAAAGUUCAGGCCUCUGCUUGCCAUAUGAACUGGGGUUAAGUUUGUAAUUAAUAAAACGAGGACCUAAUCUUAAUUUUUAAAUUUAAGGUCAAAAUGCAAUUUUCGGAAGAGUAUUAAAUUUGACUUUUUAAAAGGAUCUAAAAUUAUGUUCUAAAUGUGUUUGAUCUAUAUUUUAAUUUUGACCCGUUUAAGAUUAAAAUUUUAAAAUUGACGAUAUUUAUAUUUUGUUAAAAUGCUCAUAUGUUUAAAUGUUGCUAUUUUUGUCCAUUUAAAUGUAUAUUGAUUUUUUGUUACC
This 1209-nucleotide long non-coding RNA is filed under the name Olea europaea (common olive). RNAcentral describes it as "long non-coding RNA (OEUR_LNC010821)". Lineage: Eukaryota; Viridiplantae; Streptophyta; Magnoliopsida; Lamiales; Oleaceae. The record is from RNAcentral.